Molecule: signal recognition particle RNA, 96 nt
Filed under: Oceanospirillales bacterium
Lineage: Bacteria; Pseudomonadati; Pseudomonadota; Gammaproteobacteria; Oceanospirillales
Description: signal recognition particle sRNA small type
Rfam family: Bacterial small signal recognition particle RNA
About the family: The signal recognition particle (SRP) is a universally conserved ribonucleoprotein involved in the co-translational targeting of proteins to membranes. Archaeal SRP consists of a 7S RNA and homologues of the eukaryotic SRP19 and SRP54 proteins.
Source: RNAcentral
CGUUGGUCACUUAGCAACAGCUAGCGGUGGACUUGGUCAGGUCCGGAAGGAAGCAGCCACAACUGUGAAUCUGUGUGCUAAGACCGGCUAACGGAA